GUCUCCUUUAAGUUAAGGUCUCGCGACCAUUUCUGCCUCUCAGCGACGGGCCGACGGCGAAGAUCUGCCCAGUGGAGGACCGCAGACAGCGUGCACCUCUCCACCCUUUCCCCAAGCCCCCGAAUAAAGUGCUUUGACUCUACGGCUGGCGUCCGUGUGUCACUGUCGCCGACGCGCUGCCUUUGAGCCCCCGGCGGCCUUCCUCGUGGCGCCGGGGGUUAAGCUGCGGCGCCAUAGCAAUCGCUAGCGCAUAACUGGGGCCGCCUGCCCAUCGCGGGCGGCCCUUUUAACUGCUAGAUACAGGCCGAAACCAGCCUGCCACAAGGCUCUCGGGUCGAGGGAAGGCAGUUUGCAGGCGGCAUAUGCAGACCUAACGUGGCUUUAGGGUAACCGUGGCCCAAGGGCGGACCUGUUGGGUGAUAGCUGAGACAUGUCUGGCUGUCAGGAUCGGACCUGAGGUGUAUAGUCGUUAUCUGUGGUACUUGGGUGUUGAGGCGGCUGAAAUCUGGCGCGGGAGGAGGCAAAGUAGUAGUUAGGCAGGCCUCUUGGGGAGUCAAGGUCAGUAGGGGGUCAGCGUUUGACUAGCGAAUACGACAGGGGCUGGUAAAGCACAUCAAGAAAACUGGCGUUUGAAUAACGGAGAACACCCAGUGAAGCUACAUUGAAUUUCUAAGCCAGGGUCUUACUGUAUAUUAACAGCCUUGGCUGUCCUCGCCUGCCUUCGUCACCACCGCUCUGAAUUUUUAGGCAAGCUAGAUCGUCGGGUUAGUUUAAUAGUAAACAAUUAGAAUUAGGGAGAUGAUUUGGACAAUGCCGAUGACGAAUACAGGGUGGGGCGUUUGUCAGCCGAGGAACCCUUACACUUGGAAAGUGUGCACAGAGAAUUAACUGAAUAAUUGUGAGCCCCAGUUAGGGACUGCCACAGCCCGUGACUCCAAGGUCAGCAUGGUUCGAAUAGGAACAGUAAGGUCUGCAUUGCAUCUUAAUGAGGCAGCUGAACCUCAUUUCAGAUGCUGAAACCAGUCCCAAGGCUUGUUUGCCUAGAAAACAAUAAUUCCUCAUUUUAUCCCUACUCUUCCCAUAAGGGUAAGCUGAUAACUCAAUUGCAUUCCCACCUCAACAUACAGCAAGGGUGGAUAAAACCAGCCUGAGAGUCCAAGUAUUCCACUUUUAUGGGCUUUUUUGUAAAUAAAGAUGCUUAUCUGGUGUUUGA
Onychomys torridus (southern grasshopper mouse) is the source of this 1213-nucleotide long non-coding RNA. RefSeq lists it as uncharacterized. Lineage: Eukaryota; Metazoa; Chordata; Mammalia; Rodentia; Cricetidae. The transcript has 2 exons. The record is from RefSeq and is a predicted model, not a curated record.